Molecule: ribosomal RNA, 492 nt
Filed under: uncultured bacterium
Lineage: Bacteria
Description: partial 16S ribosomal RNA
Rfam family: Bacterial small subunit ribosomal RNA
Source: RNAcentral
AGUGAACGCUGGCGGUAGGCCUAACACAUGCAAGUCGAACGGCAGCACAGUAAGAGCUUGCUCUUACGGGUGGCGAGUGGCGGACGGGUGAGGAAUACAUCGGAAUCUACUUUUUCGUGGGGGAUAACGUAGGGAAACUUACGCUAAUACCGCAUACGACCUACGGGUGAAAGCAGGGGAGCUUCGGACCUUGCGCGAUUGAAUGAGCCGAUGUCGGAUUAGCUAGUUGGCGGGGUAAGGGCCCACCAAGGCGACGAUCCGUAGCUGGUCUGAGAGGAUGAUCAGCCACACUGGAACUGAGACACGGUCCAGACUCCUACGGGAGGCAGCAGUGGGGAAUAUUGGACAAUGGGCGCAAGCCUGAUCCAGCCAUACCGCGUGGGUGAAGAAGGCCUUCGGGUUGUAAAGCCCUUUUGUUGGGAAAGAAAAGCAGCAGGUUAAUACCCCGCUGUUCUGACGGUACCCAAAGAAUAAGCACCGGCUAACUUCGUG